AAAGGAAGCGAUUCCGGCGGGGGAUGGGCAUGCGGCGCAUUAGCUAGUCGGCGGGGUAACGGCCCACCGAGGCGACGAUGCGUAGGGGUUCUGAGAGGAAGGUCCCCCACACUGGUACUGAGACACGGACCAGACUCCUACGGGAGGCAGCAGUGAGGAAUAUUGGUCAAUGGGCGGGAGCCUGAACCAGCCAAGUCGCGUGAGGGAAGACGGUCCUACGGAUUGUAAACCUCUUUUGCCGGGGAGCAACGGGGUCCUUGCGAGGGCCCAAUGAGAGUACCCGGAGAAAAAGCAUCGGCUAACUCCGUGCCAGCAGCCGCGGUAAUACGGAGGAUGCGAGCGUUAUCCGGAUUUAUUGGGUUUAAAGGGUGCGUAGGCGGGCUGUUAAGUCAGCGGUCAAAUGUCGGGGCUCAACCCCGGCCUGCCGUUGAAACUGGCGGCCUCGAGUGGGCGAGAAGUAUGCGGAAUGCGUGGUGUAGCGGUGAAAUGCAUAGAUAUCACGCAGAACUCCGAUUGCGAAGGCAGCAUACCGGCGCCCGACUGACGCUGAGGCACGAAAGCGUGGGUAUCGAACAGGAUUAGAUACCCUGGUAGUCCACGCAGUAAACGAUGAAUGCUAGCUGUCCGGGACUUCGGUCCUGG
RNAcentral lists this ribosomal RNA (642 nucleotides) under uncultured bacterium. Its description in RNAcentral is "bacterial SSU rRNA". It matches the Rfam family "Bacterial small subunit ribosomal RNA", at positions 202 to 842 of the family's 1533-position model. The record is from RNAcentral.